RNAcentral lists this ribosomal RNA (459 nucleotides) under uncultured bacterium. RNAcentral describes it as "partial 16S ribosomal RNA". It matches the Rfam family "Bacterial small subunit ribosomal RNA", at positions 28 to 507 of the family's 1533-position model. The record is from RNAcentral.
GAUGAACGCUGGCGGCGCGCCUAACACAUGCAAGUCGAACGGCACCCCUCCUCGGAGGGAAGCGAGUGGCGAACGGCUGAGUAACACGUGGAGAACCUGCCCCCUCCCCCGGGAUAGCCGCCCGAAAGGACGGGUAAUACCGGAUACCCCGGGGUGCCGCAUGGCACCCCGGCUAAAGCCCCGACGGGAGGGGAUGGCUCCGCGGCCCAUCAGGUAGACGGCGGGGUGACGGCCCACCGUGCCGACAACGGGUAGCCGGGUUGAGAGACCGACCGGCCAGAUGGGGACUGAGACACGGCCCAGACUCCUACGGGAGGCAGCAGUGGGGAAUCUUGCGCAAUGGGGGGAACCCUGACGCAGCGACGCCGCGUGCGGGACGGAGGCCUUCGGGUCGGAAACCGCUUUCAGCAGGGAAGAGUCAAGACUGUACCUGCAGAAGAAGCCCCGGCUAACUACGUG